AAUGAACGCUGGCGGCAGGCCUAACACAUGCAAGUCGAACGGAUCCUUCGGGAUUAGUGGCGGACGGGUGAGUAACGCGUGGGAACAUACCCUUUGGUACGGAAUAGCCUCGGGAAACUGGGAGUAAUACCGUAUGUGGUCGAGAGACGAAAGAUUUAUCGCCAACGGAUUGGCCCGCGUUGGAUUAGGUAGUUGGUGGGGUAAUGGCCUACCAAGCCGACGAUCCAUAGCUGGUUUGAGAGGAUGAUCAGCCACACUGGGACUGAGACACGGCCCAGACUCCUACGGGAGGCAGCAGUGGGGAAUCUUAGACAAUGGGGGAAACCCUGAUCUAGCCAUGCCGCGUGAUCGAUGAAGGCCUUGGGGUUGUAAAGAUCUUUCAGGUGGGAAGAUAAUGACUGUACCACCAGAAGAAGCCCCGGCUAACUCCGUGCCAGCAGCCGCGGUAA
This 449-nucleotide ribosomal RNA is filed under the name uncultured bacterium. Its description in RNAcentral is "partial 16S ribosomal RNA". It matches the Rfam family "Bacterial small subunit ribosomal RNA", at positions 29 to 523 of the family's 1533-position model. The record is from RNAcentral.